RNAcentral lists this ribosomal RNA (546 nucleotides) under Triticum aestivum (bread wheat). RNAcentral describes it as "partial small subunit ribosomal RNA". The record is from RNAcentral. Lineage: Eukaryota; Viridiplantae; Streptophyta; Magnoliopsida; Poales; Poaceae.
AUGCGCCGUCACCCACCCAGCAUGGCGGCCGGACCGCAAGGGUAUGUUGGACACGAGGGUGCAGCCGUCGUAGAUGGACCGGGCGUAGCCGAAGAUGAAGUCGACGCCGCCCUUGAUGAAGCAUUCAUGGAAGUAGUGCCGGCCAGUGUUGUCGCACAGCGUGUCUUGAAAGCCGUUGAAGGCGCAGCGGUGGAAGGCGAUCCGGUCACCGUCGACCAGCGCCGCCAGCGCCUGGGUGGCGUUGCUCUUGUUGACGCCGUUGUGCGUGUUGGUGAAGGCGAUGUCCCGGGCAACGAAGUCGUUGGCGUAGACUCUGAAGGUGGCGGUCUCGAGCGUCCCCAUCGCAUUGGCGCCGCGGCGCAUCAGGUCGUCGGUGCUGCCGUGGACGUAGUCGUCGAAGUAGAUGACCGUGCUCGAGUGGCCCUCCCCUUCCAGCAAGAUGUAGCCUUUCUCCCUUGGGAUGGUCACCUUCUCCCUGCAUGCACCACGUAUACCAUCAUAACCAUACUUGCUUACCACAUCUUGAAGCAAUACCUAACUGUGUAG